CCAGCUUCUUCUUUCUGAUCACUCUUCUUGCCUCAGGGUGAUGCCUACCCUGGACACCUAACUGCCCCCUCUCCAUUCUAAAACCCCUUCUCACAAAGGAAGGAUAAACAGACUCACAUUCAAGUUGCAAUCACAGAUGUGACACGGUUUAAUGUAUAUCGUUCUCAGAGGCAUUCUAGGGGAAAGGAACAAGUCAAAAACUCCAGGUGGCAAUGUCUGCUCUGCCGCUUAUGAUCGUGAGACUAACCCAGCACGACAAACCCUGAGCCCAGUUUCUCACCAGUGUCCUUUAUGAGAAGAUGCCCUCACUGACCAGAUCAGUUCCCAAUGCUGGCAAGGCUGUAUGGAGGUCUAUUGCAGGGAAAACUGUACACUUGUCCUGAUCUUCACCAUGCUCUGAAAUGAACCUGUGUGAACCCAGCGUGACAGAAGCAGGGACCACAAAAGUCUAAGGAAUUCAUGUGUUAGGACUUCUUCCAGUUCUAUACAAUUCAUUUUAUGAGAAGACAUGAUUGCCUUCCCGUUUUCAAGACACGCAACUCUAAAAUGGUGAACAAUGAACCUCGAAUAUUCUUUAAUUUCUGCAACAAUCUUCUGUAAAUCUUUAUCUCGAAAUGGCUUCCUAAAUCUACAUUUUUUUACAACUGCCGUGGUUCAACAUUUGCUUAGCAGGAACUCUAGGUCAGAGCUGUCCCUCAGCAUCUACGGGAUGGGGCCCCACCUGAUUUUAUUUCCUAACUUUCGAGCUGGCCUCAGAUACCCGUUUAUUCUUUGCUUCACAAAGAUGCUUAGAUAAAAGAUCUGAAGACUCUCUUCAAAGAUUCAAAAAGCUCCACUGUUUUGUGGGAAGAUGUCUGUGGUCAGAUAGGCAGGUGGAUCGGGCGCCUAGGGCCCGGAGGUAGAAGGAGGUGGCCGGAGGCGCUCAGGCCAGCGCCUCUCGCAUCUCUGAGGAGGGGCGCCGCCCAGGCGCUCGCGUUGCUAAGUCCUCUGUUUGCCGCGUUCUAAAGGAGCCCCGAGCGGGACCAAGGCAAACGGGGGGGGGGUGUGUGUGGCCCGGGAAAGCUCGAGCAGUGUCUUCAGUAAACCCCCAGAAGAGGCAGCGGCCCCUCCGUUGAUCCCUCCUGUCCCCAGGACCUCCUGA
This 1141-nucleotide long non-coding RNA is filed under the name Homo sapiens (human). RNAcentral's name for it is "non-protein coding lnc-TTLL7-1:1". The record is from RNAcentral. Lineage: Eukaryota; Metazoa; Chordata; Mammalia; Primates; Hominidae.